Molecule: ribosomal RNA, 253 nt
Filed under: uncultured bacterium
Lineage: Bacteria
Description: partial 16S ribosomal RNA
Rfam family: Bacterial small subunit ribosomal RNA
Source: RNAcentral
GACGUAGGGCGCAAGCGUUGUCCGGAAUUAUUGGGCGUAAAGAGCUCGUAGGCGGCUUGUUGCGUCGACUGUGAAAACCCACGACUCAACCGUGGGACUGCAGUCGAUACGGGCAGGCUAGAGUUCGGUAGGGGAGACUGGAAUUCCUGGUGUAGCGGUGAAAUGCGCAGAUAUCAGGAGGAACACCGGUGGCGAAGGCGGGUCUCUGGGCCGAUACUGACGCUGAGGAGCGAAGGCCAGGGGAGCAAACGGG